AUACAGGAAGGGCAAGCGUUAUUCGAAUUUACUGGGCGUAAAGGGUGCGUAGGUUGUUGAGUAGAUUAAAUAUGAAAUACUAGAGCUUAACUCUAGAGUGGUAUUUAAUAUCUUUUAGCUCGAGUUAGAAAGGGGGUGGUGGAACUUUUAAUUAAAAGGUAAAAUUUAGUGAUAUUAGAAGGAAUACCUAUGGCGAAGGCGACCAUCUGGGUCUAACUGACGCUGAGGCACGAAAGUAUGGGUAGCAAACAGGAUUAGAUACCCCAGUAGUCC
This 273-nucleotide ribosomal RNA is filed under the name uncultured bacterium. RNAcentral describes it as "partial 16S ribosomal RNA". It matches the Rfam family "Bacterial small subunit ribosomal RNA", at positions 523 to 796 of the family's 1533-position model. The record is from RNAcentral.